UCUAGUCAGCUAUGAAGUCAGAUAAUACAUCAGCUAAAAUGUCAAAAAAUCAAUGAGUUAUUAGAAACUAAAAAUAUCAACUCUAGUAAUUAUUCAAAAUUCACAAUGAGCGACAAGGAACCGCAAAUAAAAACCAUCCCACAAGACGCAAGAUAUCACAACUGUAACGCAACCAAAUGGUGUUUUGCUACCUUUGUUGAUUUCCAUAAAUGUAAAAGACUCCUAGGGGACGGAAACGAUUGCUGCAACCAAUUUUCCCAAAUUUAUAAAGCCAUUUGUCCCAAUGAGUGGAUAAAACGAUGGGAAGAACAAAUGGAAGUUGGAACUUUUCCUGUCGAUUUACCUUCAAAAAACAAUGAUUGUAAACAAUAUUUAAAAAAAUAAAUGUUUCUGAAUGAAAUGUAA
Long non-coding RNA from Leptinotarsa decemlineata (Colorado potato beetle), 405 nucleotides. The record is from RefSeq and is a predicted model, not a curated record. NCBI's taxonomy places the organism in Eukaryota, Metazoa, Arthropoda, Insecta, Coleoptera, Chrysomelidae.